AGCUUUAUAGUCAAUAAAAUGAUAUUAGACUGCAAUUCUAAAGUAGAAUUAUAAUUCUAAAGCUU
This 65-nucleotide transfer RNA is filed under the name Hippotiscus dorsalis. RNAcentral describes it as "tRNA-Cys". Lineage: Eukaryota; Metazoa; Arthropoda; Insecta; Hemiptera; Pentatomidae. The record is from RNAcentral.